RNAcentral lists this ribosomal RNA (1876 nucleotides) under Ceratapion onopordi. RNAcentral describes it as "partial 16S ribosomal RNA". The record is from RNAcentral. Lineage: Eukaryota; Metazoa; Arthropoda; Insecta; Coleoptera; Brentidae.
GGAACCUGUCCUAUAAUUGAUAGUCCACGAUUUUUAUUACUUAUUUUAUUAAUUUGCAUAUCGCCGUAGAUUGAAUAUUUUUUAAGAAAUAUAAUAUUCAAAAAUUUAAAUUUAGGGAGAAUUCAGGUCAAGAUGUAGUUUAUAAAUAAGAAGAGAUGGGUUACAAUAAAUUUAUUUAAAAUGGAUAAUUAUUUUAAAUAGUAAUUUGAAGGUGGAUUUGAAAGUAAUUUUUAUUAAAUAAUAAAAAUGAUUUUAGCUCUAAAAUAUGCACAUAUCGCCCGUCAUUUUCACUAUAAAGUGGAACAAGUCGUAACAUAGUAGGUGUACUGGAAAGUGUGCCUAGAAUGGCAAAUUAGAGCUCGAUACAGAGUAUUUUAGUUACAUUAAAAAGUUUAUUGUGAAAAUCAAUAUAAUUUGAAUAUAAAUUAUUAUUAUUAUUAAAUUUGAAUUUUUAUUUAUUUAAAUAAAAUAAUUUAGUGUUUAUUUAUUAAAAAGAAUAAAUUUUUUUAUUAUAGUUAAUUAGUAUUGUGAAAGAAAUAUUUAAAAUACUUAAAAGAAUAAUUAAUUUUUAGUACCUUGUGCAUCAGGGAUUAUUUAAUAAAAGUAAAUAAUUAUUAUUUUCUCGAAUUUAAAAGAGUUAUAAAGUUAUAUUUUUUAUUGUAUUAUAAAUAUUAUAAAUAAUUUUAUAGUAAUGAAAUGUUAUUCGUUUUUAAAUAUAUCUAGUUUUUUAAGAAAUAAAUUUAAUUUAGUUAGUAAAAAAUAUUAAUUUAAAUUUUUAAUAGAAUAUUAUUAUUAAUAAAAAUUUUAAGGGUUGAGCUUUAAAGUUUAUUUUUAUAAAUAAUAGUGAAAUUUUGAAUAAGUAAGAUUAGAAGUUUUUAUCUUUAGUAGUAUGUUAUAAUAAAUUUAGUAAAAGAAAAAAUUUAUAUAAAUUUUAAAUGAUUUAUUAAAAUAUUAAUUUUAAUUUUUAAAGUUAAGAAUUAAUGGUAAUAUUAGUAUAUUUUAUUGUAUUUUAAUUAAUAGAUUAGAUUAAGUAAAGGAAUUCGGCAAAAGAUUUUUCACCUGUUUAUAAAAACAUGGCUUUUUGAAUAUAAUUUAAAGUUUGACCUGCCCAAUGAAUAAUUUAAUGGCCGCGGUAUAUUGACCGUGCAAAGGUAGCAUAAUCAUUUGUUUUUUAAUUGAAAGCUUGUAUGAAAGGUUGAAUGAAAAAAUAACUGUCUCUAUUUAAAUUUAGAAUUUUAUUUUUAAGUUAAAAAGCUUAAAUAAUUUUUGAAGACGAGAAGACCCUAUAGAGUUUUAUAAUUUAAGUUUUUAAUAAAUUUAGAAUUUUUAUAUUUAAAUUAUUUAAAUUAUUUAAUUGGGGUGAUUAAAAAAUUAAUUAAACUUUUUUUGUAUAAAAUCAUUGAUUAAUGAGURGUUGAUCCUUAUAGAUUAAAAGAUUAAAUUACCUUAGGGAUAACAGCGUAAUUUUUUUUUAGAGUUCAAAUUAAAAGAAAAGAUUGCGACCUCGAUGUUGGAUUAAAAUUAAUUUUACGGUGUAGAGGCUUAAAAGUUGGGUCUGUUCGACCCUUAAAAUUUUACUUGAUCUGAGUUCAAACCGGUGUGAGCCAGGUUGGUUUCUAUCUCGAAAAGGUUAAUAUAUUUUAGUACGAAAGGACCAAAUAUUUUAUAAAAAAUAUUUGUUUAGAAUAUUAUUAUUAUUUUGGCAGAUUAGUGCGAUAGAUUUAGAAUCUUUAUAUGUAGUUAUACAAAUAAUACUUGUUAUUUAAGGAUUUAAUAAUAAUAYUGAUUUCUAUAGUAAUUUUAAUUUUUAGUGUAAUAUUAGGAGUAGCUUUUUUAACUUUAUUAGAACGUAAAGUUUUAGGAUAUAUUCAAAUUC